This 305-nucleotide ribosomal RNA is filed under the name uncultured bacterium. Its description in RNAcentral is "bacterial SSU rRNA". It matches the Rfam family "Bacterial small subunit ribosomal RNA", at positions 337 to 658 of the family's 1533-position model. The record is from RNAcentral.
CCCUACGGGGCGCAGCAGUGGGGAAUAUUGCACAAUGGGGGAAACCCUGAUGCAGCGACGCCGCGUGAGUGAAGAAGUAUUUCUGUAUGUAAAGCUCCAUCAGCAGGGAAGAAAAUGACGGUACCUGACUAAGAAGCCCCGGCUAACUACGUGCCAGCAGCCGCGGUAAUACGUAGGGGGCAAGCGUUAUCCGGAUUUACUGGGUGUAAAGGGAGCGUAGGUGGCAUGGUAAGCCAGAAGUGAAAACCCAGGGCUCAACUCUACGGAUUGCUUUUGGAACUAUCAAGCUAGAGUGCUGGAGGGGG